RNAcentral lists this ribosomal RNA (500 nucleotides) under uncultured Glomeromycotina. RNAcentral's name for it is "partial small subunit ribosomal RNA". It matches the Rfam family "Eukaryotic small subunit ribosomal RNA", at positions 591 to 1092 of the family's 1831-position model. Lineage: Eukaryota; Fungi; Glomeromycota. The record is from RNAcentral.
CCAAUAGCGUAUAUUAAAGUUGUUGCAGUUAAAAAGCUCGUAGUUGAAUUUCGGGAUCAAUGCGUCGGUCGUGCCUUCGGUACGUACUAGCGUCAUCGAUUCCUCCCUUCUGAAGAACCGUGAUGUCAUUAAUUUGGUGUUACGGGGAAUCAGGACUGUUACCUUGAAAAAAUUAGAGUGUUUAAAGCAGGCUAACGCUUGAAUACAUUAGCAUGGAAUAAUGAAAUAGGACGUUCGAACCUAUUUUGUUGGUUUCUAGGAUCGACGUAAUGAUUAAUAGGGAUAGUUGGGGGCAUUAGUAUUCAAUUGUCAGAGGUGAAAUUCUUGGAUUUAUUGAAGACUAACUACUGCGAAAGCAUUUGCCAAGGAUGUUUUCAUUAAUCAAGAACGAAAGUUAGGGGAUCGAAGACGAUCAGAUACCGUCGUAGCCUUAACCAUAAACUAUGCCGACUAGGGAUCGGAUGAUGUUAAUUUUAUAAUGACUCAUUCGGCGCCUUACG